UGUGUAGGCGGCUAGCUAAGUAGGGUGUGAAAGGCCUCGGCCUAACCGAGGCAUUGCGCUCUAAACUGACUGGCUUGAGUAAGAUAGGGGUGUGCGGAACUUCCAGUGGAGCGGUGAAAUGUGUUGAUAUUGGAAGGAACGCCGGUGGCGAAAGCGGCACACUGGGUCUUUACUGACGCUGAGACACGAAAGCCAGGGUAGCGAACG
Molecule: ribosomal RNA, 207 nt
Filed under: uncultured bacterium
Lineage: Bacteria
Description: partial 16S ribosomal RNA
Rfam family: Bacterial small subunit ribosomal RNA
Source: RNAcentral